Molecule: long non-coding RNA, 677 nt
Filed under: Aotus nancymaae (Ma's night monkey)
Lineage: Eukaryota; Metazoa; Chordata; Mammalia; Primates; Aotidae
Description: lncRNA (ENSANAG00000039107.1)
Source: RNAcentral
CUGUACUUGCUUACCUAGCUUUGUGAAACAAAGAAGGGAAGAUGUUGAGGAACAUUAAGUUUACCCUGCCCCCAUGGCUCCCUUGUGGAGGAUGCUUUGUAAUUAGCGAAUUGUUUAUCAAAAAUAUCGUGUAAAACCUGGGCCCUUAUUGGAUGCUUGGGAGAUAAUAAAUAUAAAGGUAAAAAGACCUGGUCUCCAUUCUCAAGAAGUUUACAAUUCAAUAAAAGUCCAGGUAUUUUUAUUAAAUUAUUCUCUGAGACGGAAACAGUUACAGGAAUUUUGAGUCAGGAGACCUGGGUUCAGUAUAGACUUCACUUCUUCUCUAUGAUGUUGGACAAGUAUUAAAGCCCCAGCUCCUUUAUUUUUAAAGUGAAAGUAAUGCUGUUACAGACCCUAUUCUGCUUCCCAUGUGAGGAUUAACUGAGGUAACUGUUACAGUUCAAAUGAUAUGGAGGCCAAGGCCCUGGCAAGCCCACAAACAAUCUGCCUGAAGCAACUUGGAAGGUAGAGCCUUGAAUGCUGCCCGUCAAAUUGUGUGGAGCCCGGUAGAAGACAGAAAAAUGGGGAUCAAGCCAUCGUAGACAAAGGAAUUCUCAUCACAAAUGAAGUUCAAGAGCUUAGAUCUUCAGUAUUGAGAAGGAAUCAUAUUACAGAAGAGAAGGUAAGGAGCAGAUCGG